UCUUCCUUCAACAUGUUCUUUCAUCUCUUCCUCCCCAAAUCAACUCCCUCUCCAGUCUCCACCACCAAAUCUACCCUCAAGUAGUAGAGAUCGAUAGGAGCUUCGACCUUCGAGGGUGGUUGCAGCAGCACUCCUGAAGGCCGUGGUGGGCGUGGGCUGAUUGCAUCUGUUUGCGGGUGAGAGGCGACGCCGGGACAGGGGUGAAUCAAGGCCACGGCGACCUGUGCAGCGUGGUGUUGCCGAGCUGCUCUCUAGUUAGCAUUUAGCAAAGAUCGGUAAGGCCGAGAAGUCAAGAACUUGAGCUAUGCUUGCAAAACUUGAUAAAUGAAUCAUAUUACUGCGCUUGAUGACUUCUGGAAGUGCUAUUACGUACCAUUUCAAUUGGAUACAACUACUGCAGAAGGCUAUAUUUGUGUUUUAUUUUGACUUUUGAGAGAGCAAAGCCACAAUCUAUUAAGUGUUCGUCAAUUUUCAACUCUGGAUGUACUCUCCCUCUGCGUGUGUGUGUUUUUUUCUUUUGUUUUUCGAUGGGCAACUCUGCAUGUACUCCCAAUUUUUACUGUUGAGAUUAACUUUGUAAUGCAGUAUAUAUAUUUUUUGUUCAAG
RNAcentral lists this small RNA (606 nucleotides) under Oryza sativa Japonica Group (Japanese rice). Its description in RNAcentral is "sRNA Os01g0201300". The record is from RNAcentral. Lineage: Eukaryota; Viridiplantae; Streptophyta; Magnoliopsida; Poales; Poaceae.